UUCUAGCAAGAAAGCCACGCUCAUCUGGGGAGAGGAGGAGGUAGACCAUCUGCACAAGUUGAGGGCAGUGUCUGCUUCCCAGAAUUUCUGCUUCUGCCUCUGACAGGGAGCCAUGACUCCUUCCUUCCCCACACCUCUUAAGGGCAGCAGCAAAGGACUGAAAGAGGGAGCAGGGACCAGUAAAGCAGUAAGACAGUAGAGAUCCAUAAGGCAAAUGGUGGACCACUGGAGGGAAAGACCAUACCCCAGUUAUCUCCCAUGCCACGUGCCCUAGGGAAAAACACCAGUUGUUUGCUUUAGUUAUAGCUUUGUCACUAUACUAUUCCUCCCAGCCUCGGACAGCCUCUCCCCAUACACAUAGUCUGCCCAUUCUUGUUACAUGCUCCUCUCACCACCAGAUCUGGCUAAAUGAUGCUGAGUAGAUCAGAUUCCUAACCACUGACCAGCUCCAGUGCUGUGAGCCUCCCCAGAGCACCUUAGACACACUCUCUCUGUCUCUGUCUCUCUAUCACUAUUCUCUCUCCACCUAUCCCACCCAGGCCGAAAGCAUAGUGGCUACUCAUAGUCCAACCUCACUGCUGAUUGGCUCAGAAGCUUUAAUUUGCUUCAUUUCUGACCUUAGCUAAUUUACCUCCUCUUUAGGCAGCCUAGUAGCUCCUCCUCCCCUAUCCCCAUUGUCAGAAGUCCAUCAUAUUGAUGCCAGAUGGUGAAGAUACCUGAUUGGCUCAGUCUUCUGUGAUUCAGAAUGCCCCAACCCAAGUGAUCAACCAGCCUCCACCUCCCCAGACACAGGAACUACAGGCAUGGGUCUCUGUGAUUCACAGAACCAAGGACACUCUUACAUGCCUCUUCUACCUCCAGGCUCUACAGAGCCCUCAUUCUACUGGGUUCUAUUCUCUGCCUCCCAUUGAGAUCUCCAGGUCCCAAGACUAUGGUCUUCUAAUUGGUCACUAAACAAAAAUUCUAAGAAAUAAACAUUUCCAGAAGCCCUGAUAUCCUCAUGAACUCACCGAAGUUGGAAGUUCCUGAGUCACUGCCAUCUGCCUAGUGACUAUUUUUCUAAACUUCCAAGAAUGAAACAUCUUAGACACUUUUGCCUGCCAUAGACACAAAAGUCAUGGAUGACAUAACGAGAAGGAGUCCUCUUACCCACAGAGGGCUUUGGAAGCCCAGAUGAGGGCCAUAUGCCUAAUCAGCCUUCAGAGAGAGACCAGUUGAUAAAUGGACCAUUCAACACUGUCAUGGUAAAUAAAUAAAGAGAAAAG
Monodelphis domestica (gray short-tailed opossum) is the source of this 1265-nucleotide long non-coding RNA. RefSeq lists it as uncharacterized. NCBI's taxonomy places the organism in Eukaryota, Metazoa, Chordata, Mammalia, Didelphimorphia, Didelphidae. The record is from RefSeq and is a predicted model, not a curated record.